RNAcentral lists this ribosomal RNA (253 nucleotides) under uncultured bacterium. RNAcentral's name for it is "partial 16S ribosomal RNA". It matches the Rfam family "Bacterial small subunit ribosomal RNA", at positions 524 to 776 of the family's 1533-position model. The record is from RNAcentral.
UACGUAGGGUGCAAGCGUUGUCCGGAAUUAUUGGGCGUAAAGAGCUCGUAGGCGGCUUGUCACGUCGGGUGUGAAAGCUCGGGGCUCAACCCCGAGUCUGCAUUCGAUACGGGCAGGCUAGAGUGUGGUAGGGGAGAUCGGAAUUCCUGGUGUAGCGGCGAAAUGCGCAGAUAUCAGGAGGAACACCGGUGGCGAAGGCGGAUCUCUGGGCCAUUACUGACGCUGAGGAGCGAAAGCGUGGGGAGCGAACAGG